This 787-nucleotide ribosomal RNA is filed under the name uncultured bacterium. RNAcentral describes it as "bacterial SSU rRNA". It matches the Rfam family "Bacterial small subunit ribosomal RNA", at positions 52 to 839 of the family's 1533-position model. The record is from RNAcentral.
CACAUGCAGUCGAACGAGAAUCUACUGAAAGAGUUUUCGGACAAUGGAAGUAGAGGAAAGUGGCGGACGGGUGAGUAACGCGUGAGGAACCUGCCUUGAAGAGGGGGACAACAGUUGGAAACGACUGCUAAUACCGCAUGAAGCAUAGGGGUCGCAUGAUUCUUAUGCCAAAGAUUUAUCGCUUCAAGAUGGCCUCGCGUCUGAUUAGCUAGUUGGCGGGGUAACGGCCCACCAAGGCGACGAUCAGUAGCCGGACUGAGAGGUUGAACGGCCACAUUGGGACUGAGAUACGGCCCAGACUCCUACGGGAGGCAGCAGUGGGGAAUAUUGGGCAAUGGGCGCAAGCCUGACCCAGCAACGCCGCGUGAAGGAAGAAGGCUUUCGGGUUGUAAACUUCUUUUAAGAGGGAAGAGCAGAGGACGGUACCUCUAGAAUAAGCCACGGCUAACUACGUGCCAGCAGCCGCGGUAAUACGUAGGUGGCAAGCGUUGUCCGGAUUUACUGGGUGUAAAGGGCGUGCAGCCGGGUCUGCAAGUCAGAUGUGAAAUCCAUGGGCUCAACCCAUGAACUGCAUUUGAAACUGUAGAUCUUGAGUGUCGGAGGGGCAAUCGGAAUUCCUAGUGUAGCGGUGAAAUGCGUAGAUAUUAGGAGGAACACCAGUGGCGAAGGCGGAUUGCUGGACGAUAACUGACGGUGAGGCGCGAAAGUGUGGGGAGCAAACAGGAUUAGAUACCCUGGUAGUCCACACUGUAAACGAUGAAUACUAGGUGUGCGGGGACUGACCCCC